Molecule: ribosomal RNA, 301 nt
Filed under: uncultured bacterium
Lineage: Bacteria
Description: partial 16S ribosomal RNA
Rfam family: Bacterial small subunit ribosomal RNA
Source: RNAcentral
CAGUCGCCGCGGUAAUGCGUAGGUGGCAAGCGUUGUCCGGAAUUAUUGGGCGUAAAGCGCGCGCAGGCGGAUAGGUCAGUCUGUCUUAAAAGUUCGGGGCUUAACCCCGUGAUGGGAUGGAAACUGCCAAUCUAGAGUAUCGGAGAGGAAAGUGGAAUUCCUAGUGUAGCGGUGAAAUGCGUAGAUAUUAGGAAGAACACCAGUGGCGAAGGCGACUUUCUGGACGAAAACUGACGCUGAGGCGCGAAAGCCAGGGGAGCGAACGAGAUUAGAUACCCGGGUAGUCCCUGUCUCUUAUACA